CAAUCAAACCGGGAGAUAGCUGGUUCUCCCCGAAAGCUAUUUAGGUAGCGCCUCGUGAAUUCAUCUCCGGGGGUAGAGCACUGUUUCGGCUAGGGGGCCAUCCCGGCUUACCAACCCGAUGCAAACUGCGAAUACCGGAGAAUGUUAUCACGGGAGACACACGGCGGGUGCUAACGUCCGUCGUGAAGAGGGAAACAACCCAGACCGCCAGCUAAGGUCCCAAAGUCAUGGUUAAGUGGGAAACGAUGUGGGAAGGCCCAGACAGCCAGGAUGUUGGCUUAGAAGCAGCCAUCAUUUAAAGAAAGCGUAAUAGCUCACUGGUCGAGUCGGCCUGCGCGGAAGAUGUAACGGGGCUAAACCAUGCACCGAAGCUGCGGCAGCGAACGUAUCACCCAAGACAACUUUACGGAGUUGACGAUUGACGGAGCGAAGCGACGUCAAAGCGUUCAUUAAAGUCGAGUUGGCUUAGGGAUACGUUCGUUGGGUAGGGGAGCGUUCUGUAAGCCUGUGAAGGUGUGUCGUGAGGCAUGCUGGAGGUAUCAGAAGUGCGAAUGCUGACAUAAGUAACGAUAAAGCGGGUGAAAAGCCCGCUCGCCGGAAGACCAAGGGUUCCUGUCCAACGUUAAUCGGGGCAGGGUGAGUCGACCCCUAAGGCGAGGCCGAAAGGCGUAGUCGAUGGGAAACGGGUUAAUAUUCCCGUACUUGGUGUUACUGCGAAGGGGGGACGGAGAAGGCUAUGUUGGCCGGGCGACGGUUGUCCCGGUUUAAGCGUGUAGGUGUGUGUUCCAGGUAAAUCCGGUUCACUUUAACACUGAGGCGUGACGACGAGGCACUACGGUGCUGAAGCAACAAAUGCCCUGCUUCCAGGAAAAGCCUCUAAGCAUCAGGUAACAUCAAAUCGUACCCCAAACCGACACAGGUGGUCAGGUAGAGAAUACCAAGGCGCUUGAGAGAACUCGGGUGAAGGAACUAGGCAAAAUGGUGCCGUAACUUCGGGAGAAGGCACGCUGACACGUAGGUGAAGUGAUUUACUCAUGGAGCUGAAGUCAGUCGAAGAUACCAGCUGGCUGCAACUGUUUAUUAAAAACACAGCACUGUGCAAACACGAAAGUGGACGUAUACGGUGUGACGCCUGCCCGGUGCCGGAAGGUUAAUUGAUGGGGUCAGCGCAAGCGAAGCUCCUGAUCGAAGCCCCGGUAAACGGCGGCCGUAACUAUAACGGUCCUAAGGUAGCGAAAUUCCUUGUCGGGUAAGUUCCGACCUGCACGAAUGGCGUAAUGAUGGCCAGGCUGUCUCCACCCGAGACUCAGUGAAAUUGAACUCGCUGUGAAGAUGCAGUGUACCCGCGGCAAGACGGAAAGACCCCGUGAACCUUUACUAUAGCUUGACACUGAACAUUGAGCCUUGAUGUGUAGGAUAGGUGGGAGGCUUUGAAGUGUGGACGCCAGUCUGCAUGGAGCCGACCUUGAAAUACCACCCUUUAAUGUUUGAUGUUCUAACGUGGACCCGUAAUCCGGGUUGCGGACAGUGUCUGGUGGGUAGUUUGACUGGGGCGGUCUCCUCCUAAAGAGUAACGGAGGAGCACGAAGGUUGGCUAAUCCUGGUCGGACAUCAGGAGGUUAGUGCAAUGGCAUAAGCCAGCUUGACUGCGAGCGUGACGGCGCGAGCAGGUGCGAAAG
RNAcentral lists this ribosomal RNA (1679 nucleotides) under Salmonella enterica. RNAcentral describes it as "partial 23S ribosomal RNA". It matches the Rfam family "Bacterial large subunit ribosomal RNA", at positions 830 to 2405 of the family's 2925-position model. The record is from RNAcentral. Lineage: Bacteria; Pseudomonadati; Pseudomonadota; Gammaproteobacteria; Enterobacterales; Enterobacteriaceae. RNAcentral also lists the same sequence under 2 other names.